GAUGAACGCUGGCGGCGUGCCUAAUACAUGCAAGUCGAGCGAACGGACGAGAAGCUUGCUUCUCUGAUGUUAGCGGCGGACGGGUGAGUAACACGUGGAUAACCUACCUAUAAGACUGGGAUAACUUCGGGAAACCGUAACUAAUACCGGAUAAUAUUUUGAACCGCAUGGUUCAAAAGUGAAAGACGGUCUUGCUGUCACUUAUAGAUGGAUCCGCGCUGCAUUAGCUAGUUGGUAAGGUAACGGCUUACCAAGGCAACGAUGCAUAGCCGACCUGAGGGGGUGAUCGGCCACACUGGAACUGAGACACGGUCCAGACUCCUACGGGAGGCAGCAGUAGGGAAUCUUCCGCAAUGGGCGAAAGCCUGACGGAGCAACGCCGCGUGAGUGAUGAAGGUCUUCGGAUCGUAAAACUCUGUUAUUAGGGAAGAACAUAUGUGUAAGUAACUGUGCACAUCUUGACGGUACCUAAUCAGAAAGCCACGGCUAACUACGUG
RNAcentral lists this ribosomal RNA (497 nucleotides) under uncultured bacterium. RNAcentral's name for it is "partial 16S ribosomal RNA". It matches the Rfam family "Bacterial small subunit ribosomal RNA", at positions 28 to 507 of the family's 1533-position model. The record is from RNAcentral.